This 441-nucleotide ribosomal RNA is filed under the name uncultured bacterium. RNAcentral's name for it is "partial 16S ribosomal RNA". It matches the Rfam family "Bacterial small subunit ribosomal RNA", at positions 338 to 795 of the family's 1533-position model. The record is from RNAcentral.
CCUACGGGCGGCUGCAGUGGGGAAUAUUGCACAAUGGGGGGAACCCUGCUGCAGCGACGCCGCGUGAGUGCAGAAGUAUUUCGGUAUGUAAAGCUCUAUCAGCAGGAACGAGACAAGACGGUACCUGACUAAGAAUCCCCGGCUAACUACGUGCCAGCAGCCGGGGUAAUACGUAGGGGGCAAGCUUGUGCCGGAAUCACUGGGUGUAAAGGGAGCGUAGACGGCUGGGCAAGCCUGGAGUGAAAGGCGGGGGCCCAACCCCCGGACGGCUUUGGAAACUGUACGGCUGGAGUGCAGGAGAGGUAAGUGGAAUUCCUAGUGUAGCGGUGAAAUGCUUAGAUAUCACGAAGAACCCCGAUUGCGAAGGCAGCUUACUAAACUGUGACUGACAUUGAUGCUCGAAAGUGUGGGUAUCAAACAGGAUUAGAUACCCCUGUAGUC